RNAcentral lists this non-coding RNA (27 nucleotides) under Rattus norvegicus (Norway rat). Lineage: Eukaryota; Metazoa; Chordata; Mammalia; Rodentia; Muridae. The record is from RNAcentral.
UGCCAGAGGUGACAAUAAGGGCAUCUG